CGCACUCCACCGGUACGCGCCGGUGCGGAGACCGGGGUUACUUCACUGGUAAUGAGCGGGUUGCGGGUUCGAGUCCCGCCGCGA
RNAcentral lists this transfer RNA (84 nucleotides) under Nocardioides aromaticivorans. Its description in RNAcentral is "tRNA-Thr". The record is from RNAcentral. Lineage: Bacteria; Bacillati; Actinomycetota; Actinomycetes; Propionibacteriales; Nocardioidaceae. RNAcentral also lists the same sequence under 1 other name.